GAAGGCUCCCUUUGGACGCUGUUCUUCGUGAACCCGGUCAGAUCCGGAAGGAAGCAGCCGUGACGAAUGGAUUGCGGGUCAGAGUGGGCCUUCUAC
This 96-nucleotide signal recognition particle RNA is filed under the name Acetobacteraceae bacterium. RNAcentral describes it as "Bacterial small signal recognition particle RNA". It matches the Rfam family "Bacterial small signal recognition particle RNA". From Rfam's summary of the family: The signal recognition particle (SRP) is a universally conserved ribonucleoprotein involved in the co-translational targeting of proteins to membranes. Archaeal SRP consists of a 7S RNA and homologues of the eukaryotic SRP19 and SRP54 proteins. In most bacteria, the SRP consists of a 4.5S RNA and the Ffh protein (a homologue of the eukaryotic SRP54 protein). The record is from Rfam by way of RNAcentral. Lineage: Bacteria; Pseudomonadati; Pseudomonadota; Alphaproteobacteria; Acetobacterales; Acetobacteraceae.